RNAcentral lists this ribosomal RNA (576 nucleotides) under Bartalinia robillardoides. RNAcentral describes it as "eukaryotic LSU rRNA". The stretch from base 206 to 359 matches the Rfam family "5.8S ribosomal RNA". The record is from RNAcentral. Lineage: Eukaryota; Fungi; Ascomycota; Sordariomycetes; Amphisphaeriales; Sporocadaceae.
UCCCGUUAGGGUGACCUGCGGAGGGAUCAUUACAGAGUUAUCUAACUCCCAAACCCAUGUGAACUUACCUUUGUUGCCUCGGCAGUAGUUGCUGGGCGAGCCUACCCGGGAAAUCCUGGGACGACUUACCCUGUAACGCCUGCCGGUGGACUACUAAACUCUUGUUAUUUUUAAGUAAUCUGAGCGUCUUAUUUUAAUAAGUCAAAACUUUCAACAACGGAUCUCUUGGUUCUGGCAUCGAUGAAGAACGCAGCGAAAUGCGAUAAGUAAUGUGAAUUGCAGAAUUCAGUGAAUCAUCGAAUCUUUGAACGCACAUUGCGCCCAUUAGUAUUCUAGUGGGCAUGCCUGUUCGAGCGUCAUUUCAACCCUUAAGCCUAGCUUAGUAUUGGGAAUCGACUUUACUGUCGUUCCUCAAAUUCAACGGCGGAUUUAUAGCAAUCUCUGAACGUAGUAAUUUUUUUUCUCGUUUUUGAAAUACUAUAAACCUCAGCCGCUAAACCCCCAAUUUCUUAUGGUUGACCUCGGAUCAGGUAGGAAUACCCGCUGAACUUAAGCAUAUCAAAAGGCCGGAAGGAA